GUACACGCUGUGACUAGCAUAUCAAUAAGCGGAGGAAAAGAAACUAACAAGGAUUCCCCUAGUAACGGCGAGUGAAGCGGGAAGAGCUCAAAUUUGAAAUCUUAAAGGGUUUCCCUUUACGAAUUGUAGUUUAAAGAAGUGUUUUCUGUUGAGGUUUUGGUAAAAGUUCUUUGGAAUAGGACAUCAUAGAGGGUGAGAAUCCCGUAUUUGACCUUUACUUUCAACUUUGUGAUACACUUUCAAAGAGUCGGAUUGUUUGGGAAUGCAGUCCAAAAUGGGUGGUAAAUUUCAUCUAAAGCUAAAUAUUGGCGAGAGACCGAUAGCGAACAAGUACCGUGAGGGAAAGAUGAAAAGAACUUUGAAAAGAGAGUUAAACAGUACGUGAAAUUGUCAAAAGGGAAGCGUUUGACACCAGUGUUGUUUUUCUGAAAAUCAAUUAAAGAACUGUUUAUGCUAAGUUGUUUAGACUUUAUCAGCUAACUGUUUAGUUUUGAGCUUUUCUUUAAUGCACUUUUCAGUUAACAAGUCAACAUCAAUUUCUUUUGCUGUAAAAAAGCUUGAGGAAGGUGGCUUGAGAUUCGUCUUAAGUGUUUAUAACCUCUUGCCUAUGCAGUCGGAGAGAUUGAGGUCUGCAGCGUAGAUCCUUCGGGGCUAAAUGCAUUUGUGCUAAGUUAUAGCAUUUUAUAGACAACUUGUUGACUAUGAUUUGUCUUGUAGCUUACUCGCUUUAUGUUAUUUUACCUACGCUUAGGAUGUUGAAGAUGUAGCACAUCAU
This 775-nucleotide ribosomal RNA is filed under the name uncultured Neocallimastigales. Its description in RNAcentral is "partial large subunit ribosomal RNA". It matches the Rfam family "Eukaryotic large subunit ribosomal RNA", at positions 22 to 635 of the family's 3401-position model. Lineage: Eukaryota; Fungi; Neocallimastigomycota; Neocallimastigomycetes; Neocallimastigales. The record is from RNAcentral.